UACGAAGGGGGCUAGCGUUGCUACGGAAUCACUGGGCGUAAAGCGCACGUUAGGCGGAUCUUUAAGUCAACGGGGUGAAAUCCCAAGGCUACAACCUUGGAACUGCCUUUGAUACUGGGGGAUCUCGAGUCCGGAAGAGGUGGAGUGGAACUGCGAGUGUAGAGGUGAAAAUUCGUAGAUAUUAGGAAGAACACCAGUGG
RNAcentral lists this ribosomal RNA (200 nucleotides) under uncultured bacterium. RNAcentral describes it as "partial 16S ribosomal RNA". It matches the Rfam family "Bacterial small subunit ribosomal RNA", at positions 524 to 715 of the family's 1533-position model. The record is from RNAcentral.